This 794-nucleotide ribosomal RNA is filed under the name uncultured bacterium. Its description in RNAcentral is "bacterial SSU rRNA". It matches the Rfam family "Bacterial small subunit ribosomal RNA", at positions 8 to 796 of the family's 1533-position model. The record is from RNAcentral.
AGAGUUUGAUCCUGGCUCAAUUGAACGCUGGCGGAAUGCUUUACACAUGCAAGUCGAACGGCAGCACGGGAGCUUGCUCCUGGUGGCGAGUGGCGAACGGGUGAGUAAUGCGUCGGAACGUACCGAGUAAUGGGGGAUAACGCAGCGAAAGCUGUGCUAAUACCGCAUACGCCCUGAGGGGGAAAGCAGGGGAUCGCAAGACCUUGCGUUAUUCGAGCGGCCGACGUCUGAUUAGCUAGUUGGUGGGGUAAAGGCCUACCAAGGCGACGAUCAGUAGCGGGUCUGAGAGGAUGAUCCGCCACACUGGAACUGAGACACGGUCCAGACUCCUACGGGAGGCAGCAGUGGGGAAUUUUGGACAAUGGGGGAAACCCUGAUCCAGCCAUUCCGCGUGAGUGAAGAAGGCCUUCGGGUUGUAAAGCUCUUUCAGCUGGAAAGAAACGGUGCGCUCUAACAUAGCGUGCUAAUGACGGUACCAGCAGAAGAAGCACCGGCUAACUACGUGCCAGCAGCCGCGGUAAUACGUAGGGUGCGAGCGUUAAUCGGAAUUACUGGGCGUAAAGCGUGCGCAGGCGGAUUGUUAAGCAAGAUGUGAAAUCCCCGGGCUUAACCUGGGAAUGGCAUUUUGAACUGGCAGUCUAGAGUGCGUCAGAGGGGGGUGGAAUUCCACGUGUAGCAGUGAAAUGCGUAGAUAUGUGGAGGAACACCAAUGGCGAAGGCAGCCCCCUGGGAUGACACUGACGCUCAUGUACGAAAGCGUGGGUAGCAAACAGGAUUAGAUACCCUGGUAGUCG